GGGGGUUAUUCAGAUAAUUCACAGUGAGAUUACCAUGAGCUCAUUAAAGUGCACGAACCCUCUGUUGGGCUUUUUACUGCAUGAAAACAAUUGAUUACUUAAAAAACGGUCCCACCCUUUCCUAAAAGCACACGAGUGUGUAUAUAGGCUGCUACCAACAGCUCACAUACACCCUGAAUAGGAAGCACAUCUCUCUGACGGACACAAUCUUUUUUUUGAAGGAGGAUAUCGCUUGCUGGACUUACAGAAGUGCAACAAGAUCGGUCAUUGUUAUCUGUGGAGAAACAUGGGAAACGAGAACUCCAAGAACAAAGAACUGCAGAACAGGAACGGCAGGAUUCCUGAGAAGCAUAUAAAUGGAUCAGCGAACGGCCUCUCUGCGAACCUCUCAUCUAACGGCUUGGAGAUUUCUGCUAACGGUGAGGCCGCAGUCCAGAAGAAUGGCGAGUCCUCUUCUUUAAAGCGUGCGACUGAACCAAAUGAUUUUGUCGUUGUGGAAUUAGACGGUAAAGCUGCUGACGCUCCAGUUAUUUCUGAAAUCCUUGAAAUCGUCAUCCACAAGGAAGAGGUCAGGGAAAGUGAAGGAGAUCAAACGGAUGUUAGUCUCCCUGCCACCAAUCUACAGACGGAGUCAACCUCAAGUGGAGAAGAAGCAGCCGCAGCGAUGAUCGCUGUGCACCUAGACAGCGUAGAGUGUCCGCUUCGAAAAGCUGAAACAUCAACACAAACAGACGGGACAACUGAGGCAGAUAUCUCGACACAAACGUAUAAGAACGAGGAAGUCGCAACCACCGAUAACGAGGUUCCUGUUGAAGAAGCAGUCUCCAUGGAGACUGGAUCAACUGAAGAAGACCCUCUAAAUGUGUCGGCCCGCGUCAUUGUUCAGGAUGACGGGGAGUCCUCCGACAACCAGGCCGCUCGGACCAUCAAUGAGGGGGUGGUCAUGUAUGAAAAUAUGGUGUUCAGACUGGAACGGGCAGAACUUGAUGGAACUGAGUCAAACAUCACUGCAGAACCAGGUUUUAACCCAAAAGUAUCCGAGAUUGAAGAGGAAACAGUUGCAGAGGAAAAUAACAUUGGAGAAACAUCGGCAUCGGAGGUCUAUUACAGCUUUCCUAAAGUGGUGGCAGAUUGUGUUGAGGUGGUUUUUGCGGAUGCGCCUCAGUCCACCGGCUUUGCUGCUGUGGACUCGUCAGUGCUUGCAGACGGAGUAGCUACUGGAGACAAUGGCGAAGGAGCUGGACACACGUCAGUCGAUGCCGUGCAGACUGAAACCGCCAAACAUCAGUCCACUGAGGCCCGGAAAGCAAAUGCCGUUCGUUCCUCAGCCACCGCGCUGAUGGAGACAAUCUCUGAGGUUGUUUGCGAGGCACCUGAUCCCGCACCAGCAGACCACGAUGCGCCCGCAGAGCAUUCUUCUGCCCGUCUUGCAGUAGCACUUCUAGUUAAGGCAGAAUCUGCCCAUGAGGAGGUCACCGCUGAUGAUGCUGUUGCAACGGAGAUUGUACCAGAAACACCUCAACAAGCAAAACUGGACGACGAGCCCUCAGAGAAGUGCGAUAGUUGCCCUGAGCAUGACAUCAUCACUGCAGAGGCUCCCAAUAAGCCUGCCAUCAUUGAGGAGCUUCCCGUGGAACCAGAAAGAUAUGAAGAAGCAGAACCAAGUCCCGUACUUGCCAAAGACAGUGCUGAGGCAAUGUGGGAAGCGGCAAUCAAUGCCCUCUCUGAAGACUUCAGAGAAGAAUCUAGCAGCCUGCCUCGGGAGGCUGCAGCGGCCAAAGGCUUACCUCUGAUAGAGGAGGUGAUCACCGCGUCAACUUUUGCAGGCCUUCCAGGGGGCCAAGAAGCAAGCAUUGCUGUUGCAGAGGAGCUUUUUAAGAGGGUCACUGCAGAGGCUUUAUCAAAUGCAACUGAAACAGUAGCAGAAGACGCCACAAACACUGGUGAGGAGCCUGCAGAUGUGCCGCCGAUGGACGCCACGGGAGAGCCCGAGCUUUGCGUUUCGGUCCAAGAGAGACUCAGAGACGAGAACGUCGCCCCGGCAGAAGUACCAGCCAAUUCCAGGAGUUUGAGCCAUCUCGAGCGCCGACCAAAGUCCAGCGCGCAGAUCGUCGCCAUGGAGACAAUUGAAGACGGGGCUGUGAGACAGAUAAUGCAUGAAACAGAUACUUCUGCGGUGGAUGUCUCCCAGAUUACCACUUUGGAUGAGGCUAUGUCAGAGAGUUUCGACGCUGUCCUUGAGGCCAUUGUGGAAGAAAUCAUUAACGAGGACGUCUUCUCAGCUGACGGCCGCCUCGUGACUUCAGACGAGGUGUCACCAGAGGCCUUUGUAGAGGAAGACGCUGAAGAGGAUGCAGAGAAGGAAUCAAGUGUGAACUCAUCAGAUCCAACAGUGGACUCACAAAGUGUCACAAGAACAGACAUGGAAGCUUUAGCUGUUAGUUUGCAGUCGGCGUGUAAAUCAGUUGUUGAAGAAUCGACAAAUAGGCCUGGUAGUUUAAUGCUUCCUUCACUAGGAUACAGUAUCACGGUUACUGUUCAUGUGGCGCCAAAGCAGUAAAAUCCUUGUCUGAACUUUUUUGUUGAAAAUGAUUGGUCUGCCUCCAGGAUGUAAUGUGUUAAAUGAUUGAUGCGAAAGUAAUUACAACCCAAUUGUAAAAUUAUUUGUGUUUUAUCAUAACAAGCAAGUCCCUCUGUUUUUUUAUGCUUUAUUAACACUUGCUGAUUUUCCAAUAAAAUGAAAAAUGAAACCGUUCAUGAUUUUCUUCAUCAUCUGUUUGCAUUCCUUUGGUCGGUGUCAGGUGACAAAUAAUACCUACUUUCAAAAAAGUAGGGCCACUAAUGACUUUGAAAAACAAUGAAUUAGACAUUUGAACGUUAGCAGAUUCACUAAUGAUCUUUAAAUCAGAGUUGGUCAACGAUAACCCAGCAUCAAAACCCAGCAAAGGUAUUUGCGUUUCCUGACAUUCUUUUCUCCGGGCAAAACUCUCACACAUUGUUGAAUAUCAAUGAGUGAGGGGUGGGACACACGCAUUGAUAAAAGGCCGAUUGUUGACAGUGCCCCGAGUAGGCAGAGGCAUGGUUGGAAUUGUGUACUCCCAUCUCAAUGCUGCGAUUAAGACCCUCACUGCUUGCAUUAUAAGCCACGCUGCUCUAACGCAAUACUCAAAGGCUAAUUCUUUGUGAUGGUGUAUAGGAGACAGCUAAGCAAAAGCAAGGGUCAGAAUCAUUGACGGAGCCAGAGAGUGUGACUCUAGACUCUGACGAGGGAAACCAGGAGGACAAUAACCCAGAAGAGAAUCCAGUUAUGAACUUCUUCAAAUCUCUAACGACUUCCAAAAUAACCAAAAAGGAAACAGCUGCUCCUGUUGCCAUAAAAGACCAGGUGACGCAGAUGUUUAUGAAGGAUUGUGUGAUUUUAAAUGAUUCAUUCAUUAUGACAGUACCACCAGGGGAUUUCCCAGCAGAGUUCCCAGUUAUAAGUUUCAAUAACCAGUUUUAUAUCACAAAUGUUUUUGUUAACAAAGCCAGAUCAGUGAGCUCAGUAAUGUAAUGGUUGAUUAUGUGUUGAAAUCAUUUUUUGCCACAUGCCUUGUAUGAAUUUAUGUUUGAUUUCUCUGAUGCCCAAAAACAUUUAACCAGUAGCUUCUCCAAACUAUUUAUAGGACAUUACAAGCUUUUUUGCAUGUUUUUUUUUGCAUACGUUUAACGUUAUUUCUCACUGCUUCCCUUUUUCUGUUGCAAAAUAGUCCCAGAAGGAGAACCAACCAGCAGCAACCACUACCGUGAGCUCAUUGCCCAAAUAGUGUUUUAUUUCCCUAAAAAGCAUAUGUUUGUCGGGCCAUAUUGGUUUCAGUUUAGUUUCAGAAAUUCUACUUUAUUUUCUAAUGUUGCAUACUAAUUCAAUUUGUGAUAGUUUAUGUUGGAUGAAUACUUAGUUGCUAAACCGAAUCAAUCACUGCUUUGUCAUUGUGUAACAGGCGUAUAGUGUUAAAGGUGACUCCGUGCAUUACUUUAACAACCUCUCUCUCUUGAAUAGGUCGCACAAGUAUCUGAGCCGCCUGCAGCGCCCAAAGGAAUGUCUAUCCCACCGCCACCUCCUCCAGAGCCACCAAAAAUGGAUAUCAAGGCAGAACCAGCUGCUAAACCUGUCAAGGCCACACCAAGAGAAGAAGCAAAAGCUGUUGCCAAGCAACCCCAGUCCUCCAAAGGAAAAUCAGCAACUCUAAGCAAAUUUUUCCGUUCAAAGGUAAAUUAACAGCGAAGACAAGACAAGAUGGUGUAGGUGAUUCAUGGAGACUUUCAGUGAGUCCACGGAGAAAUCUGAUUAUAACAGAAAUAUAUGUGAAUAUGAGGUACUGCUACGUGACGAGACAUGUGAGGUCCAGGGUGCUUCAGCAUGUGGAGACAAUGCCCCCUCAAGUUGCCAGCAGUGGUACAGUGUCACAUUAUUAUAUUCUCAAAGUGGCCGUGGCUCAUCCUGUUACUUACUGAACAAGAGCUGGUUUGUCUGGAAGAGGCUGAAACAGGACAACUUGCUGUUUCCAUAUCGGAACCUGCAGCGAUCGUGUCAGCUGAUAUGCACAUAGUUUUGAACCAUAUCCAGGCCAAUCAGAUUUUUGUUCUUUGCAAGUCUUUCAAAAUGUUGACUUUGCAGCCAGUUCCUCGGUCAAACGGCCUCGCCUUAGUGCAGCUGUUUCUACCACAGACCAUUUUUCCAUAAUACUUUAUGUUCCCAACAUUUAAAUUGCAUUAGUGAAUUAAUCAGUAACAUUGUGUUUCGUUUUGGGACGUACAACUAUCUGGCUUACUUGCCAAGAGUUUAGACGAGGGGAUCAAUACCACCAUCGUUUCUGUAAGCUAAGUAUGGAGUUAGAAUCGGACAAUUGGCCGAGAACAAAGGCUCUUUGUGUGCUUUGGAAGGAGCAGUACUGUCUUCCAGUAUUUAUGCUGUGCUAAGUUACGGUCAUGAGAAAGGUUUUGACCUGCCAACUUUUGGUGAAGUAUAAUAUUUUCCACAAAAAUGUCACAUUAUUCCUUUAACCAAUUCUUAUUAGUUAGCGUCCAUUGUCAGGCUAACAUUCAAAUUACAACAUGCAAACAUUUCUUUUCCUUUUCGGUUCUGUUGGCUUUUUACUAACAAUAACAUUUCCCCCACCGUCCUGCAGACAAACAAGGAGUCCCCACCAAAGCCAGACAUUGAAGUAGACGUACAACAAGUUGUAGAAGUAGAGGUAAUCCAGAGAGCAUGCCCAAUCUUCUCAGAUGUAUUCAUGGCUUGCUAAUGUGUUUAAUGCACGAGUGCAGUGGUUCUUGUUUUGAAUCAUCUUAUAAUUGGUUACAUUUGCGGUCAGAAAAUUCGGCCAGAUUAAGUACAUUUCAGCAUGUUUCCUUGUCCAUUUUACUUUGCAUCUCAGAAUAAAAAAGUAGCUUUGUUCUGCAGGAGACACCAGUGGAAGCUCCUGAGCCAGUUGUUUUAGAAGUCAAGGUAAAUCGAAGGACAGUUGUUCAUUUGGGGCUUAAGUCUUUUAUGAGGGGUAGAUUAUGUGAUUAUCUUGGCAUCACCAUGUACUACACUGCAAAAAAAAAUUGCAUUCCAUGAAAUUGACAUAUUGUUGUUCAUCUGCAUUUGCUCAGAGUGAAAAUAAUGUUGACCCCCAUGACUCAGCAGAGCAGGUGGCCCAGCCUGUUGUACAAGAGCAGGUAAAUUUCUGUUGCAUUUCAUGCACCAUGCAAAAAAGGGAAAUAAAUAAUUCCCCUUUCGUGCAGAUGGUAGCAGAUGUACCACAGCCCGUGGUAGCGGCGGAGAUAAAUCAACAGUUUGGGAUCUUCUGCUUUCAUGCUUCCUUGUCGAGAGUUAGAUGAGAAGAACGCUCUCAUCUGCCUCUGUUAAAUUUGAGGCGUCAGCUAGUAGCAGAUUAGAUUAGAUUAGUUUAGUUUAGCACAGAGGCUUAAAUGUGCCUGUCUGUUAAACAGCAUUGCUCUGUCCGAUGCUGAAAAGAUUCACUUAUUGGCAGUUUUUAAGCUAUUUUUUGUUGGAUAAACAAAUUAAAUGGUUUAUUAGUGUUAAAGAGAAACAAAUGGUAACUUUUGCAUGGAGCCCAAAGAUGGUUUUAAGCUGUUUCAAUUCCUAAUGAAACUUCAAGUCAAAAGUCUCCUGCAUCAUACAGCAUAGGAAAGAUAUUAAAAACGGUCUUCUCAUCACUUGGCAAUAAAGCAAAUUCCCUCAUUUCCCUAUGGGUCAAUCAUUCAAGGGAGGAAUCUUCAGUGGAGACAUUCACUUUACUAUUUCCUUUUAUUUCUUCCCUUGCAAGCAGUAAUAUUAUAUACCUAUGUGCAUGAUUCUGCGGAUCUCUACACUUACAGAUUCUUUCACCUCCUUUCUGCUCUGACUCUGCCUGGAAUCUCUGCCCUUACCUCUUCGUUUUUUCACAGGUGGCAAAUGCUUCCCCGUACUCCGUCCGCCUCAAUGCUGGUCCUAACGCUUCCGUACCUCAUGUGUAUUUUCUUUUCUGCUGUUUUGAUAAAAGAAGGUGGAUUCUUCAAAAGCUGGCACUUUGGAGGCUGCAGCGAAACCAGAACCGCCGCCGCCUGUGCAGGAAGCACAGAAAACUGCCUCAACAUCCUCCUUCUUUUCUCUCUUCAAGCCUAAAGUAAGGGGCUGUUCACAUCUUUAUGUUUUUUUUAUGUCUCAGUAUGAAUUGUAGAAUAAUUUAAGUACACAAAGUAAUAUAUUUAUGUGAAUUUUGAGGUCCUAUUAGACCACAUGACCACAAAAGUCCAGGCGGCCUCCACAAGUGGAGUUCGUCUCCUCGGGAGAACAACUGGAGUGGUAAAUACAGUAAAAUUGCAUCUGGAGAAUAGAUAGAUUAUUCCAGAGUAAUUUCAGCAAUUACAUCUGGUAUUGAAGUUCUCUAACUACUUUUUGUCAGAGACAUUUCCUAACCGCGCUUCUAUACACAUCGCCCGUGAUGUUCUGCUGCAUCCAAGAGCUUAACACGUUACAUCUGAUCUCAACAUGUGGAGCACUGGAAUAAAUUCAGUCCCUCAUAAUGCACCGCUUCAACACUUACAGGCCGCUGAUCCCAAAAAGGCGAGUCCUGCCCCGGCUGCAGCCCCAGAGACAGUGAAAGCCAAGGAGGAACCCAAAGCAGCAGCCAAGUUAUCCGAGGCCGUGGUAGAUAAUAAACCUGCUUCAGUGGCCUCCCAGGCCGCAGGUGAUGCAGCCAAGGCGCCAAAGAAACUGGAGAAGAGGAACUCCAUCCAUCAGUUCUUUAAAAUUCUGGGCCAGAAGCGUAACUCGACAGAUGCCGGGAUCCAGACAGAGACGCUCGCUGUCGCUCCGGUACCCGAGAAGGUCAAAUGAAACCAAAAGCGAGAGUGAAGUUUCCCUGUACAGACUCCUUCUCUUUUUCUUGCCCUUACUCGGUUUUCAUGUGCCUCAUCUGUCUCAUUAUUCUUUAAACUCUUAUAGAAUUGCUUUAACUACAUUUUGAUUUUGUUAUUGUUCAUAAGUUACAAUACGCACGGAAUAGUGAGCGGAAAGGCAAAGGCAAGUAGUGAGAAAGACACACAGCAGGUAGUUGCACAAGUGGUGAUUUGAAAUGGUCCAUGGUGAGGUUGUUGAGAUAUUUACAGUAUAUACAGUACAUAUUGUGUUUGGACCCUGUGCCUUGACAAGUAUAGCAAAAUCAGUGUGAAAUCUUUUCUACAGACAUUUAAUGUAACUUCUCUCUGUUCUUGCACAUGAAACAGAAGGUAAAAGGCAUCGCUUUUAGCUUUGUGUUUGUCAAAAAAAAACAUUUAAAAAAGGUUCUAUUUUUUACAGUUCACACAAAAGAAAAUCACGCAGCUGUGGCCGUGCAGAGGUUCCCACGAAAUUGCAUCGCACUUAAAUCCAUAUGUGAUAUAUUAACAUUAACAGCUCUGAAAAGAGCAAAUAAGAAGAGCAUCUUAGUGUAACAAGAAGCACUUAGCAGUCAAGUAUCUGUAUCGAGGGUGAUGGGGAACUGGCUAUAUGCGUAAAAAAAUGCAUCUGAGAGAUGUGUCUUUGUGCUACGUUUUUACUAAUGACUCACAGUUGAUUAGUUUUACAUUUGAACUUUGUCUCAUGUAACUCAGUGGAAGUCUUGUAGCGUCAGUCAGCAAUUAACAUCACGCUUUUGGUGGCCUUGCUUGAUGUAUGCAUGUGUGUGCGUGUGUGUAACUUCAGCUAUCCUGAAGACAAUAAACCUGUUUAUCAUUCGUUGUAUCUUCAUGUGUGUACGCGGCAACUGAGAAACCCCGUGAAGAAUAACCGGCUGUUGCAUUCGGCAUCUGCCAAAAUAUGCACCUCAGUAAGUUUGGCAAAAAAAAAUAAAAAAUCACACAUCAAAUCUUAUAAUAAAUAUUUUAAUUCACACUAAACUAAACUCAUAAGGCGUGACACAUGAGUCCUACCUUGGGCGUCGGUGGAAAUACUGCCAGCCUUACUCACCCAUGGGUUUAUUUUGUUGGCUGAAAAACAAGUGACGGUGAUGACGGGCAGGGCCGUACAAACCAAAACUCACCUCAGAGCCGCCCGCCGUCCGCCCGCCCGCCUGAUGGACGGAGAGCCGUCUGCGGUCCGUCACUACCAAAUAUUACAUUCAGAGACACCUUAGAGAUAAAAAGAUGUUAAACGAGAUCUAAGGAAUUGUUUCAGGUAAAGCAAAGCCUCCCAUACUCUAUUUUCAUUUAUGAGGUAAUUCCAAUGAUGGAGGAUGUGUUUUAAAUAGUAUUAUGUCAUGAGUCGCGGCCCCCUUAAAGGCAUAACUCACGCUGCACCUUUAUUAUCAACGAAACGCACUCUUUUUGCGUUACCCUCUGUGAUGGUUGUGAUCAUUUUAAAUUGUGCAUCAAAGUAAUUGACAUGGCACUUAAGGGGAAACAGUGAGGUAUUGCCUGCACAGUUUAAUCCAUGUGGUCAAGUCCUCUCCUCUGGGGAUUGUUAAGAGGAAUAUGUGACUCUUUGCCAACUGUAUUGCUGUACAGUGUGAAGUUCACCACUAACUACCAUUCUCCUAAAAUAAAACACUGGACAGUACCCACAGUGCA
This is a long non-coding RNA of Gasterosteus aculeatus aculeatus (three-spined stickleback), 9075 nucleotides long. NCBI's taxonomy places the organism in Eukaryota, Metazoa, Chordata, Actinopteri, Perciformes, Gasterosteidae. The record is from Ensembl.